UACGUAUGGGGCGAGCGUUGUUCGGAAUUAUUGGGUGUAAAGGGCGUCUAGGCGGGAGAUUAAGUUAGAUGUGAAAGGCGUGGGCUUAACCCACGAAUUGCAUCUAAAACUGGUUUUCUUGAGUUCGGUAGAGGAGAGCGGAAUUCUUGGUGUAGCGGUGAAAUGCGUAGAUAUCAAGAAGAACACCAGUGGCGAAGGCGGCUCUCUGGCCUAGAACUGACGCUGAAGCGCGAAAGCGUGGGUAGCGAACGGGAUUAGAUACCCGUGUAGUCCCUGAG
Molecule: ribosomal RNA, 278 nt
Filed under: uncultured prokaryote
Description: partial 16S ribosomal RNA
Rfam family: Bacterial small subunit ribosomal RNA
Source: RNAcentral